Molecule: ribosomal RNA, 497 nt
Filed under: uncultured bacterium
Lineage: Bacteria
Description: partial 16S ribosomal RNA
Rfam family: Bacterial small subunit ribosomal RNA
Source: RNAcentral
GAUGAACGCUGGCGGCGUGCCUAAUACAUGCAAGUCGAGCGGACGGACGAGAAGCUUGCUUCUCUGAUGUUAGCCGCGGACGGGUGAGUAACACGUGGAUAACCUACCUAUAAUACUGGGAUAACUUCGGGAAACCGGAGCUAAUCCCGUAUGAUCUUUUGAACCGCAUGGUUCAAAAGUGAAAGACGGUCUUGCUGUCACUUAUAGCUGGAUCCGCGCUUGAUUAGCUAGUUGGUAAGGUAACGGCUUACGAAGGCGACGAUGCAUAGCCGACCUGAGAGAGUGAUAGGCCACACGGGAACGUAGACACGGACAAGACUCCUACGGGACGCAGCAGAAGGGAAUCUGACGCAAUGGGCGAAAGCCUGACGGAGCAACGCCGCGUGAGUGAUGAAGGUCUUCGGAGCGUAAAACUCUGUUAUUAGGGAAGAACAUAUGUGUAAGUAACUGUGCACAUCUUGACGGUAACUAAUCAGAAAGCCACGGCUAACUACGUG